ACAGACUCACUCUGUACUUGGCUGCGGCCCCAGUCAGGUAUUUCUUUUUUCAUCUGCCAGAGAGAUAUUGCUGUGGCCACCUGACCUGCUGAGGGUGAUGCAGCUUCCCAGGGGA
This 115-nucleotide small nucleolar RNA is filed under the name Saimiri boliviensis boliviensis (Bolivian squirrel monkey). RNAcentral's name for it is "Small nucleolar RNA SNORA77 (ENSSBOG00000011260.1)". It matches the Rfam family "Small nucleolar RNA SNORA77". From Rfam's summary of the family: ACA63 (SNORA77) is a member of the H/ACA class of snoRNAs that guide the sites of modification of uridines to pseudouridines. The record is from RNAcentral. Lineage: Eukaryota; Metazoa; Chordata; Mammalia; Primates; Cebidae.